Molecule: long non-coding RNA, 312 nt
Organism: Salvia splendens (bonfire salvia)
Lineage: Eukaryota; Viridiplantae; Streptophyta; Magnoliopsida; Lamiales; Lamiaceae
Exons: 3
Source: RefSeq, a predicted model, not a curated record
AAACGCUUUCCAGUGGAUACCAUAACUCACAACUCUCACGCGAUUCUGGACUAUCCUGAAGGCGACGAACCUGUCGUGCACUAUAUAGAAAGACGCAAUGGCAACUGAUAUGAGCUGGAACGACGCUGUUUCUAAUUCUUCCUUGAAGAAGCCAUGUGAGGAAGGUGGAAGCUCUUGGGACAACUUCAAGAAUCAGAUGAAAGACCACACACACUCCUUCAAACUAGCCUUUCACUCGGUGAAGGAAAAAAUCUCAAUUCCUGCAAACUGGAGUGUAGAUCAAAAUCCAUCUCAUGAAUCAAUGGAAUUGCC